RNAcentral lists this transfer RNA (68 nucleotides) under Capsala pricei. Its description in RNAcentral is "tRNA-Met". Lineage: Eukaryota; Metazoa; Platyhelminthes; Monogenea; Capsalidea; Capsalidae. The record is from RNAcentral.
AGAAAAAUAAGUUAAUUAUAAGACUAAUUGGUUCAUGUCCAAUUUGUAUGGGUUUCCCAUUUUUUCUA